CCACCAUCUUGGCAAGGGCAGCCUCAGCAACCGGGUCAACCAAUGCAACCACCUAUGAUGCCUCCGCCCCCACUUCAGCAGUUCAGGCCGCCUCCCCCGAGCAUGCCACCACCCCCUCAACAGGUAAUGCAAGCUCUCUCAAGACCUCCUCCACCACCAGCAUUAAUGGGGGGCCCUCCCCCUGUUUGGCGGCCACCCCCACCCCCUCAGCAACUGGCUGGGAGGCCCCCUACUAUGCUUCAGAUGUCAAUGCCGCCACCUCCACCACCUCCUGCAGCAGGUUGAAGAGAAGUUGAAAACCCGAUAAAUGUUGCAAAAGUAGUUAUUUUGUCAAAUGCUUCUAUCUAAGACUAUGUCUUACCUACUUAGGAUUAUAUAGAAAUCGCGGUAGGGACAAUCUUUGAUCC
RNAcentral lists this long non-coding RNA (407 nucleotides) under Vitis vinifera (wine grape). RNAcentral describes it as "long non-coding RNA (VVIN_LNC001158)". The record is from RNAcentral. Lineage: Eukaryota; Viridiplantae; Streptophyta; Magnoliopsida; Vitales; Vitaceae.